Molecule: long non-coding RNA, 405 nt
Organism: Pogoniulus pusillus (Red-fronted tinkerbird)
Lineage: Eukaryota; Metazoa; Chordata; Aves; Piciformes; Lybiidae
Exons: 5
Source: RefSeq, a predicted model, not a curated record
GCAUUAUAAAGGUGGCAGAUUGCUCAUCAAGAAUCCUUGACACUUUGUCCAAACUCAGAGAAUUUGCAUUUGGCCCUAGAGAUACAUUUCUUCUGACUAGAUGGAUGAACUGAAUGGACUUGAUGCUCCAGAAUGAAUUUGAAGCUGCUGAGUGCUUGUUGGCAAUGAACUUCAAGUGUUUCCAAAGGUCAAGAACAAUCUUACUUCUAAAUGGAAGAAUCAUCAGUGAAACUUCAUAAAGGGAUCGGGUGUGAGGAAGUGCAGCAUUGGAAAGCCAGAUCAGAGUGAGCUGUGUGAAAACCAGGCAGCAGCAGACGGCUUGGCACACAUGAUAAUGGAGUGCAACAGACUGUUUCAGGUAUGUAACAUAGUGGAUGAAAAAAGGCAAGGUAUAAGUAGUUAGAA